GCCAUCGUAGCUCAAGAUCAAAGCAUGACCCUGAAGCCGUCAAGAUAGACCCUAGACCCGUCUCGAAGGCA
This 71-nucleotide transfer RNA is filed under the name Pseudanthias huchtii (red-cheeked fairy basslet). RNAcentral's name for it is "tRNA-Phe". It matches the Rfam family "tRNA". Rfam says of the family: Transfer RNA (tRNA) molecules are approximately 80 nucleotides in length. Their secondary structure includes four short double-helical elements and three loops (D, anti-codon, and T loops). Further hydrogen bonds mediate the characteristic L-shaped molecular structure. tRNAs have two regions of fundamental functional importance: the anti-codon, which is responsible for specific mRNA codon recognition, and the 3' end, to which the tRNAs corresponding amino acid is attached (by aminoacyl-tRNA synthetases). tRNAs cope with the degeneracy of the genetic code in two manners: having more than one tRNA (with a specific anti-codon) for a particular amino acid; and 'wobble' base-pairing, i.e. permitting non-standard base-pairing at the 3rd anti-codon position. Lineage: Eukaryota; Metazoa; Chordata; Actinopteri; Perciformes; Anthiadidae. The record is from RNAcentral.